AAGGAGCGCUGGGAGCGCGAGUGCCAGGCCCGGGAGAGCCAGCAGGGGGAGCAGGAGAGCAGGCUGGAGGAGCGGGAGCGGCAGUGCCACCUGGAGACGGAGAGGCUGAGGCGAGAGCGCCAGGAGCUGGACGAGCAGCUGGAGGAGUACCAGCAGAGCCUGGAGCGGCUCCGGGAGGGCCAGAGGAACGUGGAGAGGGAGCGCGAGCGCCUGGAGAACCAGCGGGAGCUGCUCCAGGCGUGGCGGCGCUGCCGGCAGAGGAGUCUGCCCAACGUGAUUCCGCACAUGGUCAUCCCUCUAGAUGGGCGUCAGGACCCGGCGGCGAGUCGGCCCCGAGGCCUCGCCGGCAACGGCUCCGCGUUCGUGAACGAGGCGGCGUUCGCCGACGCCAGCGUCAACAACCGCCACGGCAAGAACGACCCCGACGCGCACAACUGCCUCAACGCCCUGCUGGCGAGACCCGGCAGCAGACGCAGCGCCGGCGCGAAGACCCCCCGCGGCACGCACGGCGACCCCCGGGGCUGGGUGGUGGGGACGGGGUACCUCUGCGGCGCCGCGCGGCGGCUGGAGCUGCAGGACGCGCCCGCCGAUCUUAACCGUGCCGCCGCCUACAUCGCGGGGAGCUGGUCGACGACAAGCGGCGCCGACUCGCCUCCCGCGCUGCCCGGUGCCCGUGACCCCCGCCUGGACCUCAGCGCGCUGGUUUCCUUGGAGACGGACGGCGGCGGCGGCGGGGAGGAGGCCGGCGAGGAGACCAUUGUGUACCUCUGAGACUCUUUAAGUAGCCAACCCUGCACUCGGAAACCAGACCAAGACAUUCGUCAAGCGCCAGGAUCGGAUGGAGAGUUUUCUCCUUUUAAAAUGAUUAUUUUUUUAUAUUUAAGCGGUGGCUUUGUGGUGUUUUUGUAAGCGUAAAGUGCCUGGAAAGAGAGAAAAUGAC
Long non-coding RNA from Gasterosteus aculeatus aculeatus (three-spined stickleback), 940 nucleotides. The record is from Ensembl. Lineage: Eukaryota; Metazoa; Chordata; Actinopteri; Perciformes; Gasterosteidae.